CAGCAGCCGCGGUAAUACAGAGGGUGCGAGCGUUAAUCGGAUUUACUGGGCGUAAAGCGUGCGUAGGCGGCUUUUUAAGUCGGAUGUGAAAUCCCUGAGCUUAACUUAGGAAUUGCAUUUGAUACUGGGAAGCUAGAGUAUGGGAGAGGAUGGUAGAAUUCCAGGUGUAGCGGUGAAAUGCGUAGAGAUCUGGAGGAAUACCGAUGGCGAAGGCAGCCAUCUGGCCUAAUACUGACGCUGAGGUACGAAAGCAUGGGGAGCAAACAGGAUUAGAUACCCCCGUAGUCCCUGUCUCUUAUAC
Molecule: ribosomal RNA, 301 nt
Filed under: uncultured bacterium
Lineage: Bacteria
Description: partial 16S ribosomal RNA
Rfam family: Bacterial small subunit ribosomal RNA
Source: RNAcentral